This is an RNA transcript of Cygnus olor (mute swan), 3143 nucleotides long. It is a transcript of the gene named gamma-aminobutyric acid type A receptor subunit beta1, with no coding region annotated. The record is from RefSeq and is a predicted model, not a curated record. NCBI's taxonomy places the organism in Eukaryota, Metazoa, Chordata, Aves, Anseriformes, Anatidae. The transcript has 9 exons.
CCGGCGGGACUUGGUGCUCCGCUCCGCUCCAAGUUGCAGCCCGCGGCUCGGCCCCCGGCAAGGCGGCGGUGGCAGGGGAGCUGCUGGGGCCGGGAUGAGGGCGGUGAGGCGGGGCGGCCCGCGGGCCCUGUGGCAGCCGCUGGUGCUGGUGCUGGUGCUGGUGCUGGCCGUGGCGUGCGCGGCGCGCAGCGCCGACGAGCCCAGCAACAUGUCCUACGUGAAGGAGACCGUGGACGGGCUGCUGCACGGCUACGACAUCCGCCUCAGGCCCGACUUCGGAGGGCCGCCCGUCGGUGUGGGCAUGCGGAUAGAGAUCGCCAGCAUCGACGUGGUGUCCGAAGUCAACAUGGAUUACACCCUUACCAUGUACUUCCAGCAGUCCUGGAGGGAUAAAAGGCUUUCUUAUUCUGGAAUACCUCUGAACCUAACACUGGACAACAGAGUGGCUGACCAGCUCUGGGUGCCUGACACAUAUUUCCUAAAUGACAAGAAAUCAUUUGUCCAUGGGGUGACAGUGAAAAACCGAAUGAUUCGGCUCCAUCCAGAUGGGACAGUCCUUUACGGUCUACGGAUCACGACAACAGCUGCUUGCAUGAUGGAUCUACGCAGAUAUCCUCUGGAUGAACAAAAUUGCACACUAGAAAUUGAAAGUUAUGGAUACACAACUGAUGAUAUUGAAUUUUAUUGGAAUGGAGGAGAGUCUGCAGUAACCGGAGUUAGUAACAUUGAGCUCCCACAAUUUUCUAUUGUUGAUUACAAGAUGGUAUCAAAGAGAGUGGAGUUUACAACAGGAGCAUAUCCUCGGUUAUCACUUAGCUUCCGGCUCAAGAGAAAUAUUGGCUACUUCAUUUUGCAGACCUAUAUGCCUUCCACAUUGAUCACUAUUCUGUCGUGGGUAUCUUUUUGGAUCAAUUAUGAUGCCUCUGCAGCCAGAGUUGCUCUAGGAAUCACAACCGUGCUGACGAUGACCACCAUCAGCACCCACCUCAGGGAGACCUUGCCAAAGAUUCCCUAUGUCAAAGCAAUAGAUAUUUACCUGAUGGGAUGCUUUGUGUUUGUGUUUCUGGCCUUGCUGGAGUAUGCCUUUGUAAACUAUAUAUUCUUUGGGAAAGGACCCCAACGUCAAAAAAAGACAGCAGACAGGACAGGACAUGCUGCAGGCGAGAGGAACAGACUGGAAACAACUAGAGUCCAGGUAAAAUGUUCAAAUUAACUUUUCAAACAUUACUUCUGCUGUGACAAUGUUGAUGAAUAUGAUGAUCGAGAGAAAUACUGUUCAAACACAUGCAAAAAUCACUUAAGAUUGUCUAUAGAAAAAAUAUAUUUUAAGGAGAUUACAGUAACGUAUUUUUUUCAGUCUUCAACUCAAAACAGAGUAGGAAACUACAGAAUAUGUGAAUGGCUAUUGAGAAGAAGCAUUUAUUUGCAGCACAGAAGAAAGAAAAGGGGAACAAGGAAGUUGAACAUUUACCAUUUCAACUGUAAAGAUGGACUUUUCUAUAGAAGUUGGUACAAAAUAAAUAUUUAAUAUAGAGUUUCCUUUUAUACACAGAAACCUCACCAAAAAUAGAAAGCAAAGACAGAUUCUGUUGCUACAGUGAGUCUUGAAUGAAACCCACACCACUGAAUUCUCAGAAAUUCUCAGUGGAAAAUACGUCGUAAUGAGCCCAAAGAAUUUUUGCUGCUCUCUUAUUUUCUACAAUAUAUUCCAUCCAAGUAUCUGGAUGGAUCUUAUCCAGGCUACCUCUUAAAAUUCUGUUCUGCUGUGGCCUGAGGUGGUAACUUUUGGACAAAAAUCUAUUUGAGCUCUCCGUUCAGCUUGAAGAAAAAGACUAACAUAUAAAACUCUUAAAAGGUAAGCCAUUAGCUUGAUGGAUGGUUGCAGUUUCACAUACAUGUCAGGAAGUGCAUUUCCAAAACUGUGGUGUUUUAUUAGUGCUAGAGUUGUGUGUCCAACUAGAUGUCUUGUGUUCCAGCAGCCACACCACUGCUGUUAGGCGUCAUGCUCUCAGUCCCAGUGAACUCAUGAGCCCAUUAAAAGUCCUUACCUGCAUUUGCCUCCUGUCCCAAUAUGUAGGAGAUGCUUUAUUACAGUGAAUGCACAAUUUCAGCUCAGACUUGCAGCAGUCUCCGAGGUCCCACAAAUUGUCCUCCACAAAGCAGAGGAGAUAUGGAUUGUUGUCGCCAUUUUGGAUUGCUGUGUGUAGAUACUGUCUGUCUGAUUCUGCGGAAAAUAAGGAAGGAAAAAAAAAAUCCACACACUGGGACCAGCUACUUCCACAGCUUCUGGGCUAAUCCAUCCUAAGUGAAAAAGCACAACAGGGGUUCAUGAUGAAGAGGAAAGCCUUGGCUACAUAGGCCCCAGCGCACUCACCGGAGUCAGGAUAAGAGAGUCAGAGUGGAGGUAAGCUCUUUUUCCUACACAUUUGGCUAGUUUGAUUGAAUAUCAAAAAGACCUAGCUCAUAUAAAAGAGCUUUGUCUAAAUGUUAUGUUGGUGAAGAUUACCCAAAGAACAAUAAGCAGAAUGGGAUGGAAUAGAUUUAUUAACACACUUGAGCUUUUCAGAGCACAACAUAUAUACACCAGCAUUCUUCUGACAGCAAAUGUAAAGAACACCUAUUUUAUAUGAGGAUUUGUAAGUGUUCACACUUUAGGUUGAAAUUACAUUUUGAUACUGAGAACUCUUAAAUUCAGUAGAAUGCUUUCUGUCUGUACAGUGCAGGUUUGUGAUUUUAGAUAUAUGUAUACACAUAGACAGACACGCAUAUACAUAUAGAGACAGAUGAACAGAUAUCAAUGAAGUUAGUUAUCGCACUGGAGACACAUCAGUGUGUGACGUUGUGAGCACUCAUUUUAGUCAGUGUGGAAAUUAUGAUGUCCCACAGCAGUAUGUCUGUCUUCAGCAGGCAGAAUGCACAUGAUCAGAGCAGAGCAAUUCAAUAAGCUUGUGUGACCUCUAGCGAAGACAGCUCCCAGCCCUUCUUCAUCAUCUUUUCAGAUAUUUCAUUGAUAUUAUAAUGGCUUGUACUGGAGCAGGGAAAAGCUUUUUUGGAACUCAAAAGAAGUACAGCUGUGAAGAUAUUGCUUAUUUCCAUCUGACUUACAGCCCUCCCAACUAAAAGAGUUUGACUUCCUUCACCAG